This is a long non-coding RNA of Dermacentor albipictus, 945 nucleotides long. RefSeq lists it as uncharacterized. The record is from RefSeq and is a predicted model, not a curated record. Lineage: Eukaryota; Metazoa; Arthropoda; Arachnida; Ixodida; Ixodidae.
UCUUUGGAGGAACCGGGUUGGAGCACGACAGGGGUGCCAUCCGGCAUGAGUCCCGCUGUGUUGGAGAACGACAGCCACCUAGCUACGGUGCCUUGACCACGUCAGUCGAAGAGUGUUGUAACCGCACAGCAGCGAUGACGGACCACAGACCGGGUUGCCACGACAUCCGUGACAAACAUACGGCUGCGGCUACUGGUGGUGGUGUAUAAAAGACCGUCGAUUUUACAACGCAGCAUGUACCUCCAAUGGGUCCUCCUUUAGGUUCAACUGCACGUACGAUGAGACCUCUGCUUCUAGUAUAUUGGGUAGCCAUGUGUGGCCUGCUGGUGUCAGGCAAUGCACUGCCACCUGCAGGUAAACCAAGUGGAAACCCUCCAGAUCAGACGGAGUCAUUUGGAAGCAAAGACACUCAAGCUCCCGCUGGAUUGAUCGGUCAGCCAAGUGGACCAAACAAAGCUGAAGAAGCACGCUGUCCACCGGAAACCGGCUCGCCCGUAAGCGAUGGGAGGAGCGGCGAUUCUGAGAGCAAGGAACAAGGCCAGAAGGAGCAGAGUGAACAUUUAGCGCGGCCAACACGCGACGUCGAGAACGAUAACGGGAAGGGGCCCCUUUCCUCUGAGGACAGAGUUGGAAGUAUGCAAGCAAAAUAGCACCAAACCUGGUGUAUCCCCUCCUAGACAAGGGAAGGCAGAUGGCACUUAUGAAGUGAUCUUCGGCUAUCAACAAUCUUAAUUAAUAUCGAAAAUCCCCAGUUUCAUGAACUGGGCUUGCUUUUUAAACUGUAGCCAGGCGUAGUACGUUUUCCAGUGAUGCUACACAGCGUAUUCACUAUUCUUAUGAAAAUGCAGAAAAUGAUUAAAAUUACGCUGCUAUUACCGGCCCUAUCUAUAGCGCCAGUGAACAUGCGAUAACCUAUGCUCAAAUUAAAACAAAAUAUACGAAGCA